UACGUAGGGUGCAAGCGUUAUCCGGAUUCACUGGGUUUAAAGGGUGCGUAGGUGGGCAGGUAAGUCAGUGGUGAAAUCUCCGGGCUUAACCCGGAAACUGCCGUUGAUACUAUCUGUCUUGAAUAUAGUGGAGGUGAGCGGAAUAUGUCAUGUAGCGGUGAAAUGCUUAGAUAUGACAUAGAACACCCAUUGCGAAGGCAGCUCGCUACACUAUCAUUGACACUGAGGCACGAAAGCGUGGGGAUCAAACAGG
Molecule: ribosomal RNA, 253 nt
Filed under: uncultured bacterium
Lineage: Bacteria
Description: partial 16S ribosomal RNA
Rfam family: Bacterial small subunit ribosomal RNA
Source: RNAcentral